RNAcentral lists this non-coding RNA (26 nucleotides) under Homo sapiens (human). Lineage: Eukaryota; Metazoa; Chordata; Mammalia; Primates; Hominidae. The record is from RNAcentral.
UAGGCUUGCCAACUUGUUGAAUGAGA